CGCUUGCGUAUACGCCACAUCUGCCCUUCAUUCAUCAGGAGGGUGCGUCAAGAGACGUCAUGAAAAGACGUGUAGAAUGUUGCUGAUCCACAUAUAUGGGGGGUGGUAUCCUUAAACUAGCAGCCCAAAAUCCCUGAAACUCCUUUCACUGCCAUCAUCAUGACAUCACCAUGACAAGCUUUAUAAAGCAAAAUGCAGGUGUUUGUUUUAAGAUGUGGUAGGAUCCCCAUUACCUUAUUGUGCCGCAGACAUCUCUUCAGAAGAUCUCCUGCCAUGUCAUAUUUUCCCGACUGGAUGUAGAUGUCGGCCAGAAGUAACC
Molecule: non-coding RNA, 319 nt
Organism: Misgurnus anguillicaudatus (oriental weatherfish)
Lineage: Eukaryota; Metazoa; Chordata; Actinopteri; Cypriniformes; Cobitidae
Source: RefSeq, a predicted model, not a curated record